Molecule: long non-coding RNA, 304 nt
Organism: Sesamum indicum (sesame)
Lineage: Eukaryota; Viridiplantae; Streptophyta; Magnoliopsida; Lamiales; Pedaliaceae
Source: RefSeq, a predicted model, not a curated record
ACCCUUGUUUUUUCUCACUCCUACUUCUUGGCCUCCCUUAAAUAUUUUUCACCUAUCAUGAGCAAUACCCUCUUCUCCAAAUGGGGUGGUUCCAAUCCCUCUUCUCUCCCCUGAAGAAGUUGUGGGUUCGUCUCAACUCGACUCAGAAGAAGAGUAGGGGGAUAUAUAUCCUGUAUGAGGAUGUCAAGUCCUGCCCCUACGAGGACGUGCAUGUGCUCUGGUCGAUACUAGUGGAGUCGCAUCCACCAGCUUUACCACCACCAAAAUGACAGGUCUCCACAAACAUAUACAGCAGAAAACACAG